Molecule: ribosomal RNA, 450 nt
Filed under: uncultured bacterium
Lineage: Bacteria
Description: partial 16S ribosomal RNA
Rfam family: Bacterial small subunit ribosomal RNA
Source: RNAcentral
GUGGGGAAUAUUCCGCAAUGGACGAAAGUCUGACGGAGCAACGCCGCGUGAGUGAUGAAGGUUUUCGGACUGUAAAGCUCUGUUGUUUAGGACGAAAGUGCCUGUUGCGAACAGUUACAGGUAUUGACGGUACUAAACGAGGAAGCCACGGCUAACUACGUGCCAGCAGCCGCGGUAAUACGUAGGUGGCAAGCGUUGUCCGGAAUUAUUGGGCGUAAAGAGCAUGUAGGCGGAGAUUUAAGUCUGUUGUGAAAAUGCGGGGCUCAACCCCGUAUUGCGAUGGAAAGUGAAUUUCUUGAGUGCAGGAGAGGAAAGGGGAAUUCCCAGUGUAGCGGUGAAAUGCGUAGAUAUUGGGAGGAACACCAGUGGCGAAGGCGCCUUUCUGGACUGUGUCUGACGCUGAGAUGCGAAAGCCAGGGUAGCGAACGGGAUUAGAUACCCUAGUAGUCC